This is a long non-coding RNA of Bubalus bubalis (water buffalo), 353 nucleotides long. RefSeq lists it as uncharacterized. The transcript is spliced from 2 exons. NCBI's taxonomy places the organism in Eukaryota, Metazoa, Chordata, Mammalia, Artiodactyla, Bovidae. The record is from RefSeq and is a predicted model, not a curated record.
AUUUAUAUCAUGGGAAUCAAUAAAUGCCACAAGUUAAGGCUUCCUCUCCUCUUCCUCCAUAGAAGGCCAGCUGUUAAACAUCUGUCUGCAGUCCACUGCCUUCUCUCCUUUCUCAAGCACCCUUUCAGCUUCUGGUUAAGAUUUAAAAGGCCAAUCUCUAUGCACUGUCACCUUUUGAAGAAUUUGAUAUCUUCAGGUUACAAACACGAGAGACACAAAUGUCAAAAUCUUGACAUUGCCCUUGAUUUCAGGCCCCAACACCUUCUAAACCAACCCUGGUCAUUUAUGUCCACUCCCGGCACCCCAAUCCACCUCAUAAAUCCUCAGUGACUCUGUCUGGGUGUAAGAAAGUC